RNAcentral lists this transfer RNA (88 nucleotides) under Candidatus Thiodiazotropha lotti. RNAcentral's name for it is "tRNA-OTHER". The record is from RNAcentral. Lineage: Bacteria; Pseudomonadati; Pseudomonadota; Gammaproteobacteria; Chromatiales; Sedimenticolaceae.
GGAGGGCCGCAUAGUCGGCGUGCUUAUCGGUCUUGAAAACCGUGAUGACGGAAACGUUGUAAGGGUUCGACCCCCUUGCCCUCCUCCA